CUCCCAGACUCCUACGGGAGGCAGCAGUGAGGAAUAUUGGUCAAUGGCCGUAAGGCUGAACCAGCCAAGUAGCGUGAGGGAAGACUGCCCUAUGGGUUGUAAACCUCUUUUAUGCGGGGAUAAAGGUGUCCACGUGUGGAUGUUUGCAGGUACCGCAUGAAUAAGGACCGGCUAAUUCCGUGCCAGCAGCCGCGGUAAUACGGAAGGUCCGGGCGUUAUCCGGAUUUAUUGGGUUUAAAGGGAGCGUAGGCGGGUUAUCAAGUCAGCGGUAAAAUUUCGGGGCUCAACCCCGUCGUGCCGUUGAAACUGACACCCUUGAGUGAGUGAGAAGUAAGCGGAAUGCGUGGUGUAGCGGUGAAAUGCAUAGAUAUCACGCAGAACGCCGAUUGCGAAGGCAGCUUACUGGCGCUCAACUGACGCUGAGGCACGAAAGUGCGGGUAUCGAACAGGAUUAGAUACCCCCGUAG
This 467-nucleotide ribosomal RNA is filed under the name uncultured bacterium. Its description in RNAcentral is "bacterial SSU rRNA". It matches the Rfam family "Bacterial small subunit ribosomal RNA", at positions 328 to 793 of the family's 1533-position model. The record is from RNAcentral.